AGUCCCGAUUCUCCAUUCUCGAGUUCUGCGUUCUGAGUUCUGAGUCCCGAGGCGUCGUCGAUAUGGCAACCAGGCCAGAAGGACGGCCGGAGAGUGGGGAUGGUGUCCUCGUUCCAGGACCUCGUCCCUCGCUUCGUGUCGAUCCGAUGCGAUUCGGCUGCGCUUUCGGUUCGGUUUCGGUUGGGGUUUCGGCUUUCGAGGCGCUGCACUCGCUGCGACCAGAGUUUUGAAGUUCCGCUGGCCAGGACUCGCCUCAGUUGCCGCCGACUUGUUGGGUCAUUUGCAUACCAAUCGAUCAGUGCGCCAGUUGUCGGUCAAGGCAGCACGAACACCUCAAUUACACUAACGAUCAAUUAGGAAGUGUCGCGGUAUCGCCACAAAGUGAUAUUCCCCAGUAACGAAAAAAAAGCACCUUAAUAGCUGAUUUUCCUGCCCGCAAUGUCAAGGACGUUGUCGCAUUGUCGUUGCCCUCCACAUCCACAUCCACUCGGCCAAAGCUAAUUUCACUGGGGGCAAACGAGGCC
RNA transcript from Drosophila biarmipes, 524 nucleotides. RefSeq lists it as uncharacterized. The record is from RefSeq and is a predicted model, not a curated record. The transcript is spliced from 2 exons. Lineage: Eukaryota; Metazoa; Arthropoda; Insecta; Diptera; Drosophilidae.